GAGAUAUUAGUAAAAACAUUACAUAACUUUGUCAAAGUUAAAUUAUAGACUUAAAUCUAUAUAUCUCC
Molecule: transfer RNA, 68 nt
Filed under: Hylomyscus pamfi
Lineage: Eukaryota; Metazoa; Chordata; Mammalia; Rodentia; Muridae
Description: tRNA-Asp
Source: RNAcentral